This 469-nucleotide ribosomal RNA is filed under the name uncultured bacterium. RNAcentral's name for it is "partial 16S ribosomal RNA". It matches the Rfam family "Bacterial small subunit ribosomal RNA", at positions 28 to 507 of the family's 1533-position model. The record is from RNAcentral.
GAUGAACGCUGGCGGCGUGCUUAACACAUGCAAGUCGAACGGUGAACACGGAGCUUGCUCUGUGGGAUCAGUGGCGAACGGGUGAGUAACACGUGAGCAACCUGCCCCUGACUCGGGGAUAAGCGCUGGAAACGGCGUCUAAUACUGGAUAUGUGACGUGACCGCAUGGUCUGCGUUUGGAAAGAUUUUUCGGUUGGGGAUGGGCUCGCGGCCUAUCAGCUUGUUGGUGAGGUAAUGGCUCACCAAGGCGUCGACGGGUAGCCGGCCUGAGAGGGUGACCGGCCACGCUGGGACUGAGACACGGCCCAGACUCCUACGGGCGGCAGCAGUGGGGAAUAUUGAACAAUGGGAGGAAGCCUGAUGCAGCACCGCCGCGUGGGGGAUGACGGCCUUCGGGUUGUAACCCUCUUUUAGCAGGGAAGAAGCGAAAGUGACGGUACCUGCAGAAAAAGCGCCGGCUAACUACGUG